CGACCCCAGGUCAGGCGGGACUACCCGCUGAGUUUAAGCAUAUC
RNAcentral lists this ribosomal RNA (44 nucleotides) under Panax japonicus (Japanese ginseng). RNAcentral's name for it is "partial 28S ribosomal RNA". Lineage: Eukaryota; Viridiplantae; Streptophyta; Magnoliopsida; Apiales; Araliaceae. The record is from RNAcentral.